CUAUAUAAGAAAACCAGUGACAAGAACAAAAACUCAGUAAAUUUGCAGUAAAGCCACACGAAAAUCCUAUAGCCUUCAAGGCUUCUACAGCUAAUAAUCUCACCACUGUUCAUAAAAAUAAAAAGAAGAAGAAAUAACUAAAUAUAGAAAAUGUGUAUUUUCCUUUUUCGGGGCACCAAAUGGGACGACGGACUUCCACCACCACCGAAAUUUCAACUCUAACUAGUCGGAAUUCAACUUUCGACACUGAUUUUUAAAAGCUUUUCUUUCUGAGUUUUUGGUUAUGUGAGGUUAGAAGCACACGCCUCCAAAACCUCUAAAUUUUUUCCCAAAAGUCCCCCCUCCCUUUCUCUCUACAUAGAGGAUUUUGGGAUUGUUUUAAGGGGAAAUUGGAAGGGUAAAAAUGAAAAACAAGUUAUAAAUUUGAAUUACAAUUUGGGAUGAGCUGUAGUUGUUGACUUGUUCAUUGGUGUGGGGUCGCUGUUGUUGGGAACGGGUUGCCAAGUCGGGUUAAAAUUUGGUUGACAUUGUUGAGUUGUUGUAGCUGAGGCCGUUGUUCGCUGAUAUUGUUGUUGGUGAAGUUGUGGCUUUGAUGUUGAUACUGUCUUUGAAGGUUGUCGCUGUUAUGUUUUGCGUUGAAAUUGUUGUUUUUGCUGAAGUUAUCGGGCAAGGAGAAUGAGUUAAUAAAGAAAAAGGGUGUCUGGGUCGGGUC
This 712-nucleotide long non-coding RNA is filed under the name Capsicum annuum. RNAcentral's name for it is "long non-coding RNA (CANN_LNC011609)". Lineage: Eukaryota; Viridiplantae; Streptophyta; Magnoliopsida; Solanales; Solanaceae. The record is from RNAcentral.